Long non-coding RNA from Bos indicus x Bos taurus (hybrid cattle), 2552 nucleotides. Lineage: Eukaryota; Metazoa; Chordata; Mammalia; Artiodactyla; Bovidae. The record is from Ensembl.
CUGCAUCUUUUCUGGCCUCUCAUCCUCCCCAGCCACCCGGGUAAAGGUCAGGCUUCGCAUCCUGAUCUGUCCCUGCGCCUGUUUGCGAAUUCUCUCUCCCGUGAAAUCCUUUAAGGCUACCGCCGGCCGGGAAGGUCUCUACAGCAGCGGUCCUGCUCCCCCCGCCCCCCAGGCUGGAGGCGGGGCCCUGGGAUCCCAGCUCAGUGGUGCUGGCCUCCGGGGAGCAGGCCAGGCCCCCUGCCCCGGGGCUCCUGUGACCUGUGCUCUUCCAUCUCUAGUCAGGAGAAAACCAAAGGACUCGAUUUCUCCGUGGCUGACGUAGGAUGACCGCACUGGGCUUGUCUGCGGGCUGGGAGGCUGGAAGAGGCGUGACCAGCUCCGGGGUGAGGACGUGGAGCCCGCGUGUGGGCAAGGGGGCCUGCCUCCCUGGGGAGGCCCUGCCCUCCUCUUAGGAAACGGGGCGAAGCCACAGGAGUUGGGUGGCCAUCAGCAAGAGGCGUCUCUGUGCUGGGCGGGAUCCAAGCCGGUGCUUCAGAGGCGGGGGUCGGGGCUGGGGUCCCCAGGGAGUCAGGACAGUGAGCCCUCCCCCGGGCCCUGGGGGACAGCCCAGUGGGCCUCCCUCUCCUCCUUCACUUGACACGGGCGAGGGGCGCUCUCAAACGCUGCCCAGGGCCCUCCCGCCCCCAGGUCACCAGCCAAGCCUGGAUCCCCCUCCACGCGGCUGCCUCAGGCCCCGCCCCCUGCAAGCAGACCCCGGCCACACCUGCCUGAGUCCCGCAGCCCCCAGCAGAGCAUCAGCCUGCCCUCAGCACAGCAGGCCUCUGGGUCCUGGCUUCCUCCUGGGCCGCAGGCACGUGCAUGGUCACGCGGGGGAGACGCCGGGGCCUGGCGGGGGUGCUGUCUAGGACCAGCUCUGUGCCCAGGGUCCCACCCUGGGGUGCCGGCCUGCAGGGCGCUACUGCCCGCCGGCCAGUCUCUGCCGCAGGCCCGGCUCCUCUUGCGUGCUUCCCCGGGAGGAAGGCUUGCAGCGAUAGACUCGCACAUCCGUCUCGCCCUGGAGGUCUGUGACUGCCGCCCGCCCCGCCUCGUCCACGGCCCUGUCCUCUUGGGCAGAAGCCUCCUUCCAGCCUCCAGGGCCCGCGCUUCCCCGCAGGGACUCGUUAGAGCCCAGCAGAGAAGCCCUUGCUUCAAAGUCUCUCUUUGCAGAGAGCGGAGAUCCAUCCAUCAGCCCACUGAAGGCUCUGAAGAGUGGUCACAGCUCCCAUUCUUCAAGAUGAUGAAGAGCGCGCCUCUGCAGGCCUUGGGGGACCGCAAGCCCCGACUCGGGAGGGAGCCGCCUCCCCCUGCUCCCCGAGGGGGCUCCGUGCAGCAGCAUCUGGAUGUGUCCUCCAUGCCCACCCAUGGGGUGAAGAAGGGCCCACCGCCAGGACAGCUCUGCCGCGAUUUCGGGGGCCUGACCCACAGGGAGUCCAGCCAGUGGAAGGCCCCGGCAGGGCCCCCACACACGGAAAGGAGCAUCGGGGCUGAGCUGCUGCUGCGCCUCCUUCGUUAAAUCCCCGGCAUGUUCUGACGCUGUGCUGACUUCUGCCGAAGUCUGCCUGACUCAGUGCUCACAGAUGCUGUGAACACCCACGGCUCCAUCUUUACACGCGAGGGAGCUGAGGCCCACAGAGGGUCACCGGGCGGGAGCUCCCGUGCGGGGUGCACAGUCCGGGGCGGCCUAGCUGGGGAGAGGGAGCCAUGUCUUCCUGGCUCCGGGAGGGCCGGCAGGCGGAGGCAGCUCGAAAGAUGAAUUUCGGGAUCCUGCAGCCGCAGAGAUCAGCUGGGUGCAGUGGAGUCGUCUGUGUUGGAAUCUAUCAUGGUCCCGACAUAAAUUAAUUAUAACCCUUCUGCUGGAAGCAGCUUCAUGUAUAAUUAACAUUUGCUGGAGGCAAGAGGGGCUGCCGGAGAAGCUGCUGCUUCCACGGGGCCGACGGGGCGGGGGGACCCUCUGUGCUGGGGUCAGGCCGGCUUGACCCUGACGCCAGUGGCCCUGAUGCCUGCCAGCUCCUUCCAGGGUCUUCUGGGGGAGGACCUGGGCAGAGGGUCAGGCGGGCAUCCUGAGAGGCACACCGUCCAUUUCUCAGAGUCAUCAUCCUUGAGACCCAGAGACGCUUCUGCCGCUCUGACCCUGACUAAACAGCGUCCUCUUCAGCCAGGGGCCUGCAGCCCUGAUGGGACCCAAGGAGGGCAGCGGGCGGUCUCAGAGAAACCACGGAAGGCAGGGCUGGAGGCAGUGACUGUUCGUCCCCGCGGGCAGUAGGCUGGCACCUCGUGUCCUCCUCUGAAGGUCCAGAGGCUGCUCCUGGACAGACGGUGGUGCAGAGACCUGCCCUGAGACUGCAGGACAGGGUCUAGUCAGAAGCGCAGAAUGCAGGGCGGCCCGGCGGCAGGGGGCCCGCCCUCCGGAGGAGCUGGAGGCUGGGAUCUUGGCUGUGUCAGCGCUUCUUGAGGGCUCUGGUCUGGACGCCCCUGCGGCUCCCGAGGGCACGGUGGCCAGAGAGGGACGCGGU